AAGCAACACUCUGUGGCAGAUAUCCAAAAACUGUCUGACACAAUUUAAGCUUGCUAUAGCAAAAAAGUCUAACCUAUUCCGGUGUUCUCUUCUUCAUGAGAUAAGCCGUUAUAAAGGCUCAAACAAU
This is a small nucleolar RNA of Meriones unguiculatus (Mongolian gerbil), 127 nucleotides long. The record is from Ensembl. Lineage: Eukaryota; Metazoa; Chordata; Mammalia; Rodentia; Muridae.